UAUAUUAUAAAAUAUGGUUAAAUUGUCUUCCUUUUUAAGAUAAAGAUAAAUUAAGAUGAAUUUCAUUAAUUCUUUUCUGUAUUUUUAUUUUGAUGAAAUUUUUUUAAGUCAAAGUAAAUUUUUAGUUUAAACUUUAGAAAAAAUAGAUCUUUGGUAAGUAUUUAGUGUUAUAUAGUUUAGUAUUGAAUUAAGCGUUGUUAAUAGUAGAUCAUAAUUUUAAAUUUUGAAGUGAAGAGCUUUUAUAUUGCUAGAUGUGCAUUUUAAAUCUAAUAUAAUGGCAAUUGGUCAUUUUAAAAUUGAGAUUAUAUUCUAAAUAUUACUUAAUAUUUACCAAAUGUUUUAUUUUUUUGAUGAAUUCGCUUAAAGGAAUACCGAAGUGAUUAUAA
RNAcentral lists this unclassified non-coding RNA (386 nucleotides) under Borreliella garinii. Its description in RNAcentral is "partial 16S-23S ribosomal RNA intergenic spacer". The record is from RNAcentral. Lineage: Bacteria; Pseudomonadati; Spirochaetota; Spirochaetia; Spirochaetales; Borreliaceae.